This is a long non-coding RNA of Cyprinus carpio (common carp), 362 nucleotides long. RefSeq lists it as uncharacterized. The record is from RefSeq and is a predicted model, not a curated record. The transcript has 2 exons. Lineage: Eukaryota; Metazoa; Chordata; Actinopteri; Cypriniformes; Cyprinidae.
AAAGCCCAGCGUGAAGAUACAGUCACUUGUUGAAUACUUACCUGUCUGUACGAGCUAAAAGCUAUUGUCCUUGAAUACGCCCUGUAAAGCCCAGCGUGAAGAUACAGUCACUUGUUGAAUACUUACCUUGCUACAUCCUUACCGUUGUUACUUACCUGUGCCCUCAGGGAUUUGUGUGUCGCCUUAUACUUACCUAGGAGGUCAAUGGGAGUGGAGGAGCUGUCCAGACGCUGGAGAAGAGAAGGGCGCCACGGGAAAUCAAGCCGCUAAGGAAGGACUUAGGAUUAGUCAGGAGACUGGUAGAAGUUCUGGGAAAGGACGAAAGAGCCCUUUGCCCCCCCCCCUCCCCUUGUGAUUACUUA